AAGAUUUGAUACAAAUACCGGCAUCCCAACUUGCCACAGCUACAAAUGCUGACAGAUACACACUCCCACCUAUAAUUAGUACUAUUCUUGGAAGUAUGCAUAUCUUUCAAAUUAUUCUGAGCACACCAACCUUCAAUACAGAAAGUAUGAGUUUCAAAGUAGUUAGAAUUUUAUCUCCUCCUGAAAGAGAAACGGCAACAACAUCUGAACAGUUUGCUUCUUCAUCCUCUUAUACAAUUUCUUCACAUAAUCAUACUCAACAAGCAAAAAGAAAUAGAGAAGAUCAACUAGAGUUAUAUUUAGAACAUACACCAUCAGAGCAAGAAAUGAGCAUCCCGGAUGUGACCUCUCCUUAUGCAAAUUCUCCUAAAUCUCCAGAAGAUACAGUCUCAACACCACCUGCCAAAAAUAUCUUCAAGUAAUGCAAUCCCACAAGGACAAAUUAGCAAUCUAUACAUAGAUACAGUUCUAAACUGAAGCUAUACAUAACUAACUAUGCUUUUUGUAUCAAUGUAGAAUUUUAUGUAUGUAUAAGGAAAUGAAUCUGCACAACUACAAACUAUUUUUUUGAGGUGCUUUUUGUUACUGGCACUUUGUAUAUGUCAAUCGCAAACUAUGCUUUUCAACUCCUUUUAACAAACUACUUCUCAUA
Molecule: RNA transcript, 652 nt
Organism: Ananas comosus (pineapple)
Lineage: Eukaryota; Viridiplantae; Streptophyta; Magnoliopsida; Poales; Bromeliaceae
Exons: 3
Source: RefSeq, a predicted model, not a curated record